RNAcentral lists this ribosomal RNA (253 nucleotides) under uncultured bacterium. RNAcentral describes it as "partial 16S ribosomal RNA". It matches the Rfam family "Bacterial small subunit ribosomal RNA", at positions 524 to 776 of the family's 1533-position model. The record is from RNAcentral.
UACAGAGGUCCCGAGCGUUGUUCGGAUUUAUUGGGCGUAAAGGGUGCGUAGGCGGCGGAGUAAGUUGGGUGUGAAAUCCCGGGGCUUAGCCUCGGAAUGGCAUUCAAUACUGCUUCGCUCGAGUACUGGAGAGGAGGCUGGAAUUUACGGUGUAGCAGUGAAAUGCGUAGAUAUCGUAAGGAAGGCCGGUGGCGAAAGCGAGCCUCUGGACAGUUACUGACGCUGAUGCACGAAGGCCAGGGGAGCAAACGGG